CAGCCGCCGCGGUAAUACCGGCGGCCCGAGUGGCGGUCACUAUUAUUGGGCUUAAAGCGUCCGUAGCCGGGUUGGGAAGUCCUCCGGGAAAUCUGGCCGCUUAACGGUCAGAAUGCCGGAGGAUACUCCCAGCCUAGGGAGCGGGAGAGGCCGAGGGUAUUCCCGGAGUAGGGGGGAAAUCCUAUAAUCCCGGGAGGACCACCUGUUGCGAAGGCGCUCGGCUGGAACGCGUCCGACGGUGAGGGACGAAGGCCAGGGGAGCAAACCGGAUUAGAUACCCGGGUAGUCCUGGCUGUAAACGAUGCGGACUUUGUGUCGGACAAGCUAUGAGCUUGUCCGGUGCCGGAGGGAAACCGUUAAGUCCGCCGCCUGGGGAGUACGGCCGCAAGGCUGAAACUUAAAGGAAUUGGCGGG
This 414-nucleotide ribosomal RNA is filed under the name uncultured microorganism. Its description in RNAcentral is "bacterial SSU rRNA". It matches the Rfam family "Archaeal small subunit ribosomal RNA", at positions 459 to 872 of the family's 1478-position model. The record is from RNAcentral.